CCCUUAGAUGUUCUGGGCCGCACGCGUGCUACACUGAGUGGAUCAGCGGGUCAGGUUGCGCGAAAGCGUUUCCUAAUCUUUAAAUCCGCUCGUGAUGGGGAUUGACGGUUGCAAUUUUCUGUCAUGAACGAGGAAUACCUUGUAAGCGCGGGUCAUCAUCCCGCGCUGAAUACGUCCCUGCCCUUUGUACACACCGCCCGUCGCACCUACCGAUUGAAUGGUCCGGUGAAAUCUUCGGAUUGAGACUUUGAUUUCUUCACGGAAAACGCUGUUUUAAGAAGUUGAUUAAACCUUACCAUUUAGAGGAAGGUGAAGUCGUAACA
RNAcentral lists this ribosomal RNA (323 nucleotides) under uncultured eukaryote. RNAcentral describes it as "partial 18S ribosomal RNA". It matches the Rfam family "Eukaryotic small subunit ribosomal RNA", at positions 1470 to 1796 of the family's 1831-position model. The record is from RNAcentral.